CCAACUGCUCUGUUUCCGAGCCUUCCAUGAAAUGAGUGAUGAAUCCAGGAAAACACUAUCCCGUUAUGGUCUUCUUGGACAUUGGGGAAGACGCCAAUUUGCAUGACAAAGGCCUGAGCUGGAAAUAAUUCUGAGUAGGAUAAAAUAGACUCUUAGAAGGACAACCGUUGUGGUAUCUCAAUAUAUGCAAGGCAACAUCCCAGCAAGUUUUGUGAGGGGCUUGCAUGAAUUGAUUAAGUACGUGAGUAGGACAGUAAAUACCAUGCUUGGUGAGACCUAGGUAGAUGUGUUGUCCAACUCCAACGAGUCUUCUAUAUUUAUCUAGAUCCUGGAACAACUCCCCCCAACUUCAUUAUCCAACUUUUAACACUUUAAGUAGUGCAAAUGUUGCAGGUUUAGCAUCAGUAAUCUAUCAUCCUAUAUUAUAGCAGUAACAUACUUCCUUUGGUUUAAAACAUGCUAGAAGGAGAUCUUGCAGUCUUAAGGCCUAGAAAGUACUUAACAUAACCAAAAUCUUUUCUUGUAAAUGGCUUGUCCAGAAGCUCUUUCAUUGCCAAGAUAAUAGUUUCAGUAGCCCCAGUAGCAAGAAUAUCAGCAACAUAUAUUAUUAGAACCAAAAAAUGAACCAAGCUCCUUCGGCCAAAAGGUAGUGAUCAAAGACAGAUUGGUGAAAGCUAUAUUGCUAUAACUUCAUAUCAGCUCCUUGUUCCAUUCUCUAUCAGCUUAUUUAAAAUCUUAAAGACUUCUAGUGAGCCUACAAACUUGACCUUUUAAUGCUUUAGUAUAGCCCUCUAAAGGUAGCCUAAAGAUGUCUUCAUCAAAGUAGCCAUGCAAAUAAGCAUUGUCGAUAUUAAAUUUAUGAAUAGGCCAUUGGAACUUGGUUCCAAUAGCUAAGAAAAUUUUAACAGUAAACAGUUUCAGCCACAAGUGUUGUUAAACUCCCAUAUUGGUUUGAGAUAGGGAAUCUGGUCCUUGCAAAGUUUUGGGCACUCUUCCCCCCUUCCUGAGCUAUCUUUAAGGCUAAGUUAGGCCCAACUCAUUUCUUAAGAUGGUAUUAGUAUUAGAGCAUCCAAUAUCGGGCCUCCCACAAGUCUUUCACGCUCUAAGUGUUUGGCCCUGACAUGAGGGGAAUGUAUUAAAUUCUCACAUUGUUUUGGAAUAAGGAUAAUGUGCCCCUUAUAAAGUGUUAGGCUCUUCUCUUCCAUCAAGCUAGCUUUUGAGAGUAAGUGAUCCUGGCUCAUUUUCUUAAGAAGUAAAAAACUGUCAUUGUAGUCUAUUCUAGGCAAUUGGUUCUAUCCUUUUGCAACCAGCCUAUCCCUGUGUGUAUCUAUGUUGCCAACUAGCUUGUCUUUAGCGUUGUACACCCAUUUGCUGACCAUUGCCUUCUUAGUUCUUACCUUCUGGCAAUUCAGUGAGAAACUAAACAUUAUUCUUUUCCGAUGCCACCAAUUCAUUCUGCAUGACAUGUACCCAUUUACUAUCCCAUUUAAUAUCCCAUUUAGCUCAAUGACAAGAUUUUGGCUCAAUAGCAGUAGGUACAUUAGCCAUGAAAUAUAUGUGAUCAUAAUUAAAAUGAAAAGGAGUCAAAAGUUUAGGUGAAGCAGAAAGGACCACAGUCCUGCAGACUUUAAAGGGUUGUAAUCGUUUCAUGAUAUACUUGGUUCGACUGUAGUAUAAGUAGGAGUAAAUUGAGAAACAUUGGUACAUUUUGAUACUGUAAUACAAGCAAUAUGCGUGUUAUUGUUUGAUAGGUCUAAGCCUGCCUUUAUUUCAUCAGUAGCUAGCACUUUGUCGGUCAUUAGGUCCAGCAGGACAUAAUGAUAGUAGGAUAUGUUUAAAACUAAGAGCGUAAAAGACUAAUUUUAAAUGUAAUGCAUGGAUUAAAAUCACAUCUCCACUAUACAGGACAGGUUUGGUUGAGCCAUCUAGUAGUGUAAUUAUUUUUUUUAGUUUGUAUGGAUUGUGAAGAAGGCUAAAGUCAUGACACAUAUGAGAUGUGCCACUUGUUCUACCAUCCAUGUGCCUUUAUCCUUUAUCAUUUUUGCUAAAAGAGUAGUAAUUAAGUGCUCUAAAGUAUUUAGUAAGAGAGAAGAUAAGAAAAAGGAGGAACUAGGAAGAGGCAAAACCACAAAGGGUUGUCGAUAUCUAUAUUCUUACAUGAUACAUAACCUAUAGUUAUAAACUUAUAAUGAAAACUAUCAAGAUAUAGAUUGUUAAAUUCACAAAGAUGUAUCCCUUGAAAUAGGAAGAUACUUAAUCCCUAAAUUAAGGAGAAAUAUUCUUCUUAAUUUAAGAAGAAUCUCAUCAAUUCUAACAAGUACAUUACCUGCAAAGCUAGUGAAAUCCACAAAACUUGCUUCAUUAAUAGUUGGCUAAUGCCCUUUCAUGUAUUUCAUUAUUUCCUACUAGAUCAAGUGCAACUAUUCCACGUCACUUGCAUCAAUUCUUUGGGCAUUGCAAUUUGCUUCUCUGUGACAUUUGCUGCAGUAUUACUAUUUUGCUUUGCUUUUUCUUUUGAACCAUUUUGGAUGCCCAUGAAGUUUGAAACAAAUAUCUUAGGAGAGCCCAUUGGCUGUGCAAUAGGAGCGCAUCUGUUUUCUUUUUUUCUUGUCUUGUGAUUUGUUACUUGUGUUUGUAUCCUUUUGAAAUUCAAGACAGUCAUGGCAAUAAUUUUUAUUAGUAGUGCCACUGGGAACUUCCUUUGUUUCUCAACUAUUAGCACCAUUGAAUAAUGCCCUAUUGACUCUUGGUAAUAGCUCCAUUAACAAAAUUUGGUUCUUAACCUGAUCAUAUGUAUCACUUAGCCCUAUCAGAAAUUGAAUUAGCUUACCCUCAUUGUUAAUUUCAUCAAUUAACUUUGUUGUUCCACAUUCGCACACAAGUAAGGAUUGUAGAUAUGCCGACUCAUCCCAAAGUUUAUAAAGUCUAGUAAAAAAGAACAUCAAAUAAGUGUCAAAUUGACUAAGAUUACUUCUCCUGUUUUAACUGGUAUAGCAGAGGACCAUUUCUCUCACCAAAUAUCUUUUAAAUUUCUUGCCACAGAUCUUUUGCAGAUGAAGCACAUUGAAAAUCCAAGAGGAGACCACGCUUUUUGCUCUACUUGGUUUCUCAAGAGCAAAAGGACCUUUAUCAGGAAUCAGGGUGCCAGUUGAUUUUUUUUUGUAAAGGUCAGAGACCAAAUUAUACAUUCAACAAAGGAUGAAGCAAAAAGGUUAAAAGUUUAAAAUUUAACUAGGUUCAAAU
This 3243-nucleotide long non-coding RNA is filed under the name Manihot esculenta (cassava). RNAcentral describes it as "long non-coding RNA (MESC_LNC003188)". The record is from RNAcentral. Lineage: Eukaryota; Viridiplantae; Streptophyta; Magnoliopsida; Malpighiales; Euphorbiaceae.